This 334-nucleotide ribosomal RNA is filed under the name uncultured cyanobacterium. RNAcentral describes it as "bacterial SSU rRNA". It matches the Rfam family "Bacterial small subunit ribosomal RNA", at positions 367 to 716 of the family's 1533-position model. Lineage: Bacteria; Bacillati; Cyanobacteriota. The record is from RNAcentral.
CGCAAUGGGCGCAAGCCUGACGGAGCAAGACCGCGUGCGGGAGGACGGCCUAUUGGUUGUAAACCGCUUUUGAUAGGGAAGAAGUUCUGACGGUACCUAUCGAAUCAGCAUCGGCUAACUCCGUGCCAGCAGCCGCGGUAAUACGGAGGAUGCAAGCGUUAUCCGGAAUUAUUGGGCGUAAAGCGUCCGUAGGUGGUUGUUCAAGUCUGCUGUUAAAGCGUGCGGCUUAACCGCAUACCAGCAGUGGAAACUGGGCGACUAGAGUGCGGUAGGGGUCAGGGGAAUUCCCAGUGUAGCGGUGAAAUGCGUAGAUAUUGGGAAGAACACCGGUGGC